AGAUGGGCAAACUAACUAAUGGGCGUUAAAAACAUAAAUGUUGGUCUUAGUAAGUCUAUUUACUUCCUUCGUGUUUGUAGUUCAACUGAAAUUUCCCCUACAGGGGAUUAAUAAAGUUAUAUCUCAUCUUAUUUAUACUGGUCAGGGGUUGGUUCUCUACAUACUCCAACAUGUUGUAGUAGAUGAUUUGGGUGGCUGGAUGGUGGGACCAUUAUUGCCCAGUAGCUGUUUGUCUUUGUCUCCCGUCCUAAUCCCUAAUACUUUCCACAAAGAAGUGGACAUCUUUGUGUAGCUAAGCUUGAUAGAAUAGUAAGCAGCUCUCUAGAUGUAGGUACUCCUUUUGCCUUCUAGAGGGCCUCCAACAUACUAGCAAGGCCUGCCUCCUGCAGCCUGUUUUUAUUUAAAUCUGGACUGUAUUCAUCUUUGCCUGUCAGGAAUGGUCCCAUCCGUCAGCCAGUGAAAAAACCCAGAGGUCAGUCUUUACAAACUCAGCGUCUCAGCCCUUGCUCUUCAAGAGCCCCAUCGGCUACAGUGUAACUGAUGUCUGAUACCGUCGCUGCUGUUGUGUUUUCCACAGGUGGACAAACUCGAAGCCUCUGAAUCUCUGAGGAAACAGGAGGAGCAGGCUACGGAGUCUCAACCCAUUGUUUACGGCACACCCCAACUCAUGCUCACAGCAGGGCCCAACGUGGCUGUGCCUCCUCAGCAGCCAUAUGGCUACGGCUACACAGCAGCACCAGGCUACGGCCAGCCACCACAGCCCAGCUUCGGUUAUGGCAUGUGAACACCCAACAACUCAACCCCAACCACCAUCACAACUUGACACAACUUCCUUCCAUUUGUCUUUCUCUCUUUGUGUUCCUCACCAGCUUCCCAUGGUCUUCUACUCACAACAGGGGCCACAAGCAAGCAACAGCCCACUCUCCUUUGAGUACUAUUUUUUUAUUAUGUUGUCUGUUACAAGAGAAAACAUUUAACUGCAUUGAAGGACUUUUAUUUGUAUUGUUUGAAAAGAAAUUGGACCACAUGUAUGUUUGUUUGUUUUUCACAUUCCAUAUUUAUGACUACUUAUUUAGAUAUUUCUUUGUGUUUGUUAAUGUUGUCAUGUUUUGUUUUGUUUAUUGGUUUUAUGGUUUGUGCAGAAGUGGACUUGCUAAAGCUCAGCAAUGAACCUUUGAAGUAGGUGGAGGAGCAUUGGAUUUUGCACUCGUGAAGAAAUUAAUGUAGAGAAGCUCUUACUUUUGAUGUACUGAACAUGUGAACAGCUUAAAUUGUCUCGUUUGUCUGUAUAAUGCAUUUCAUCAUUGUAUAUUCUGAGGGAAAAAAAAGUUACAUAUAAUAUUUGAACAUAUAUUGCCAUUUCAAUGGCUAUAGUUAGCAACACUAAGUGAUGAUAGUAUAUUCUGCACAAGCGUGUAGCUUUAUGGAGUUUAAAAUGCAUACAGAUGUAUGUCACUGUGUGAAUAAGGAUGUGUGUGUGUGUGUGUGUGUGUGUGUGUGUGCGAGUGAGUGUGACCCAAUGGUCUAAAUAAGAAUUUUAACCCCCCCCCCCUCUCUCAGCCUGUACUGGGCUGUCCAAUUCACCCUCCUAGAUGUUAGCUCUCCGUCAUUGGCUCCAUGUAUUUAGGUGACCUCUUGUGACGUGUACAGUGCUUGUGUGAGACUGUAUCUGUGUAUGUGCAAGGACGGGACCACGGCUAACAGACCCCAGGGCCCUUAACCGUACCGUGUGUGUGCAUUUACUCCUCGUGCUGAGGUCUGUGUAUGCCAGGUGUUUUUUGGUGUUUCCCUUGGUCACCAUUACCCCCCCCCCCCCCCCCCCCCCCCCCCCCCCCCACCCGUAUAGAUGUGAACAUGAUGAAUUGAAAACUUUUAAAUGGAGACCCCACCCACUUGUCCUCCACCUACUCUCCUGUCCUGUUUCCUCCUUGGUUAAUGCUUGGCGGCAAGAACAAACAAGGAGGCAGAAAAAGACAGGCCGGUGGAAUCUUUGGUGUCCUACUUGACAGCUUGAUUAGAUCCAUAAACACUCCUGUAGGUUAUGUGUAUUGAUGGUUAUGAUGAAGAAAUUAGGUCUCAGUACAUCCAGUUCUUUGUCAAGAAUGGUCUGAAAUAAGAGCCUGUAUUUACGUUGAUGUACUUAACUUCCUUACACGCUUUAAGCUGUGUGUAAAGUGUCAUCCUAACUCUAACAUAAGUUGAAUUCCUUUCUGUUGUCAUGCAUAUUAGUAAUGCAGGGGAUCUGUCAUUAAUAAGUGGAAGAAUAUGACUAAACUGAAAGGGAAAUACUAGCCUAAAUAAAAACAUAAAAUUGUA
Micropterus dolomieu (smallmouth bass) is the source of this 2316-nucleotide long non-coding RNA. RefSeq lists it as uncharacterized. The record is from RefSeq and is a predicted model, not a curated record. The transcript has 2 exons. Lineage: Eukaryota; Metazoa; Chordata; Actinopteri; Centrarchiformes; Centrarchidae.